This 75-nucleotide small RNA is filed under the name Mytilus galloprovincialis (Mediterranean mussel). The record is from RNAcentral. Lineage: Eukaryota; Metazoa; Mollusca; Bivalvia; Mytilida; Mytilidae.
CACAGUCGUUUGAAUUUUAGUGAUAAAUAAACAAAAAUUGUUUGUUUAUUUAUCACUAAAAUUCAAACGACUGUG